Molecule: ribosomal RNA, 522 nt
Filed under: uncultured bacterium
Lineage: Bacteria
Description: bacterial SSU rRNA
Rfam family: Bacterial small subunit ribosomal RNA
Source: RNAcentral
UCCUACGGGAGGCAGCAGUGAGGAAUAUUGGUCAAUGGAGGCAACUCUGAACCAGCCAUGCCGCGUGAAGGAUGACGGCCCUAUGGGUUGUAAACUUCUUUUAUAGAGGAAGAAACUUGUCUACGUGUAGAUAACUGACGGUACUCUACGAAUAAGGAUCGGCUAACUCCGUGCCAGCAGCCGCGGUAAUACGGAGGAUCCAAGCGUUAUCCGGAUUCAUUGGGUUUAAAGGGUCCGUAGGCGGGUUUUUAAGUCAGUGGUGAAAGCCGACAGCUCAACUGUCGAACUGCCAUUGAUACUGGAGACCUUGAGUACAAAUGAAGUAGGCGGAAUGAGUCAUGUAGCGGUGAAAUGUAUAGAUAUGACUCAGAACACCGAUUGCGAAGGCAGCUUACUAACAUGUAACUGACGCUGAGGGACGAAAGCGUGGGGAGCGAACAGGAUUAGAUACCCUGGUAGUCCACGCCGUAAACGAUCAUCACUCGCUGUUGGCGAUAUACUGUCAGCGGCCAAGCGAAAGUA